AUGGAAAUGCCCUUGUCCAUUAUAAAAGAGUCAGAGAGCCGUGUCUCUCUACAGUCAGAGGUUUUUGUACGGCGCCUCAAUGAGUUUGUAUCACUGUGGUGGACUUUUGGUGGAGGAACCAGACUGGAUGUUGGACGUGAUGCCCGUCCCGUCCUGACAGUGUUGCCCCCCUCCAGUGAGGAGCUACAGCAGGGGACUGCAACAAUCACAUGUCUGGCCAACAAGGGCUUCCCCUCAGACUGGAGUCUGUCCUGGAAGGUGGAUGGCAGUGGCAGCAUCAGCUGGGAGGAGAGCAGGAGCCCCGUGGUGCUGCAGAACGACGGCCUCUACAGCUGGAGCAGCACCCUGAGGCUCCCUGCAGACCGCUGGAUGAAGGUGGGCUCUGUGACCUGUGAGGCCACCCAGGGCUGCCAGGCUCUGGUCUCAGAGCCACUGAGGAGAGACCAGUGUUCCCAGUCCUGACCUGACUCAACCUGAUACUGGUUUAAUGCUCUCAUUCUCAACUCUGUAACUGUCUCUCCAUCUUUCUUUUUGAAGAACAAAUAAAGACUAAAACUGUUAUUUUCUUUCUCAUAAUGACAACAUUCAUGUUUUAGGUAAUAAAGAUGUUUUGCAAAGUGAA
Non-coding RNA from Maylandia zebra (zebra mbuna), 622 nucleotides. The record is from the annotation of a RefSeq genome assembly. NCBI's taxonomy places the organism in Eukaryota, Metazoa, Chordata, Actinopteri, Cichliformes, Cichlidae.